GACNAACGCUGUGCGGCGUGCUUAACACAUGCAAGUCGAACGAUGAAGCCCUUCGGGGUGGAUUAGUGGCGAACGGGUGAGUAACACGUGGGCAAUCUGCCCUUCACUCUGGGACAAGCCCUGGAAACGGGGUCUAAUACCGGAUAANACUCCUGCCUGCAUGGGCGGGGGUUGAAAGCUCCGGCGGUGAAGGAUGAGCCCGCGGCCUAUCAGCUUGUUGGUGGGGUAAUGGCCCACCAAGGCGACGACGGGUAGCCGGCCUGAGAGGGCGACCGGCCACACUGGGACUGAGACACGGCCCAGACUCCUACGGGAGGCAGCAGUGGGGAAUAUUGCACAAUGGGCGAAAGCCUGAUGCAGCGACGCCGCGUGAGGGAUGACGGCCUUCGGGUUGUAAACCUCUUUCAGCAGGGAAGAAGCGAAAGUGACGGUACCUGCAGAAGAAGCGCCGGCUAACUACGUGCCAGCAGCCGCGGUAAUACGUAGGGCGCAAGCGUUGUCCGGAAUUAUUGGGCGUAAAGAGCUCGUAGGCGGCUUGUCACGUCGGAUGUGAAAGCCCGAGGCUUAACCUCGGGUCUGCAUUCGAUACGGGCUAGCUAGAGUGUGGUAGGGGAGAUCGGAAUUCCUGGUGUAGCGGUGAAAUGCGCAGAUAUCAGGAGGAACACCGGUGGCGAAGGCGGAUCUCUGGGCCAUUACUGACGCUGAGGAGCGAAAGCGUGGGGAGCGAACAGGAUUAGAUACCCUGGUAGUCCACGCCGUAAACGUUGGGAACUAGGUGUNGCCGACAUUCCACGUCGUCGGUGCCGNANCUNACGCAUUAAUUNCCCGCCUGGGGAAUNCGGCCNNAGGCUAAACUCAANGAAUUGACGGGGGCCCCNCAACNGCGGANCUGUGGNUUAUUUGACCACNNAANAACNUACCAGGNUUGAAUNNCCGNANAAUAAAANNUGCCCCNUGGGNCGNNANAGNGGGCUGGUNNCCNNNNUGUCNGAANU
This 995-nucleotide ribosomal RNA is filed under the name Streptomyces sp. LK1321.1. RNAcentral's name for it is "partial 16S ribosomal RNA". It matches the Rfam family "Bacterial small subunit ribosomal RNA", at positions 28 to 1026 of the family's 1533-position model. The record is from RNAcentral. Lineage: Bacteria; Bacillati; Actinomycetota; Actinomycetes; Kitasatosporales; Streptomycetaceae.